Pezoporus occidentalis (night parrot) is the source of this 1035-nucleotide long non-coding RNA. RefSeq lists it as uncharacterized. Lineage: Eukaryota; Metazoa; Chordata; Aves; Psittaciformes; Psittacidae. The record is from RefSeq and is a predicted model, not a curated record. The transcript is spliced from 2 exons.
GGCUGAGGCUCGAGGCGCUGGGUUUGCAGCACUGGGUGGAGCAGCUCUUUCCAUCGUGGAGGCUGUCACUGUCUGUGUGCUGUCCUAAAGGGAAGAGGGAGAGAGCGUUGUGCCUCGUAAAGCUCCACUGCCUGUCAGCAGGUUCAUGGGCUGCUGUCUUCCAUGGGAUACACCUGAAGGACCCUGCAGGGCUGAGCAGGGGAUGAGACACCUGCGAGCAGACCCUCGAGGUUGUGAUCUCUGUUCCCUUUUGUCCAGGGAGGAAGAGGGUCCUUUGGUUCGUCAGUCACACAUUGUGCAACCCAUGUGCAUUGCUGACCUUUGGCUUUUCUUGUUUGGUGUUUUUCGCAGGCAGUGGUGCUUUGAGGUCAAACCCAGCACUUUGAGGUCUUAUCUUCAUGAGCAAGAGCAGUUGUCUGAUUCCAGGUAGCCAAGAGCAUCAGGCACUUGUCUGGGAUGCAGAUUCAACUCCCUCCUGUGACUGAGACCCCAACAUAUCAUUGCUGGGGAUCCUGACACAAUGAAAUAGGCACUGGAAGCAGGCGCCAGAGUCAGGAGGGAGAGCAGAUGGUGACCUGGUUUUGCCAGUGAAAGAAUGAGGCUGGAAAGGCACCGUUGAAGUGAGGACACAGGGAAGAGGCUGCCUGGCAGUGCCUUACAUAAACAAGAGUUCAUUUGAGCCAGCCCUGGCCUGAGAGGGCGUGAGACCUGCCUCUUCCCAUGCUCCAGGAGGAAGAUGUGGUGGGGAGGUGAUGGUGGAAAAUGUAGAUCCUUGUGGUGCUUGAUUCUUAACCCGUGGUGUUAAAAGUGCAUGUGGUACUAUGGGAGGAGUUUGUCCAUCAUGUAGAUGGUCUCUGAUUGUCACUGCAGAAGUGAUGCUCCAUGAGAUAGACCCCACUGUUCAUGUUUCUGCCUGAUCCCCAAUAUUUGUCCAAAGCAGGAAGGAUGAGUGUGUUUUUCCCUUUGUUUUCCCAUGUGCAGUUAACUAUUUGAAGAUGAUUCACUGUUAUGCACAUAAACAUAUGCUUCUGCUUG